Molecule: small nuclear RNA, 167 nt
Gene: U2
Rfam family: U2 spliceosomal RNA
About the family: U2 is a small nuclear RNA (snRNA) component of the spliceosome (involved in pre-mRNA splicing). Complementary binding between U2 snRNA (in an area lying towards the 5' end but 3' to hairpin I) and the branchpoint sequence (BPS) of the intron results the bulging out of an unpaired adenosine, on the BPS, which initiates a nucleophilic attack at the intronic 5' splice site, thus starting the first of two transesterification reactions that mediate splicing.
Source: Ensembl
AUCGCUUCUCAGCCUUUUGGCUAAGAUCAAGUAUAGAAACAGCUCUGAGUAUUAGAGCUAUCAUAUUAAAGACAAAGAUGAAAAUGCUUUGUUUUCUAGAUAUAUCAGCUUGCAGAUUUAUGUAAAUAAGCAUUUCGUGAGUAAUGAAGAUAACAAAUGCAAAUGAG